Long non-coding RNA from Salvelinus fontinalis (brook trout), 1244 nucleotides. RefSeq lists it as uncharacterized. Lineage: Eukaryota; Metazoa; Chordata; Actinopteri; Salmoniformes; Salmonidae. The record is from RefSeq and is a predicted model, not a curated record. The transcript has 5 exons.
UUACCCCUCUGUUAUCUGAUUUUGACCGAGGGUUUCCGAUGGUUAGUGUGCACUCGUGGUCAAUUGACGAACUCCUCAGUGGACUGUGAAAUUGAGGCUACAUAGAAGUUAAACAGUAAUUUAGAGCAAAUAUCCUCAUUCAUGAAAAUGCAGCCGAGGAACUACAUUUCAAUGCGCAGUAUGCCAGAUCAGGUAGUAUUAAACUGUGUGGACGGUCGAGACAACAUCUCUCGGGAUCCGAGCCAAGGACCGCGAGUAGAGUGUCUCCCAGUGUCGUUCCACUGUGCCAUUCAGCCUGCCAGGGAAGGGGGCACAACGCACCAAACUAGUCAACAGUCCCAAGACCAAUAUUGGAGGGAUUGCCUUGUUUAUUGGAUCUGAGGCUUUGGUCGACGCAGUUUCCCAGGUUCCCCCAGAGACGUUCUAUUGUCAUGCUCAGGAAGCUUCCAGAACCUCAAGAACGGCAAUCUAUGAGUGACAUGGAAGGCCAAAGCUAGGUCAGAACUGACAGAGAUGAACCCAACCUGGGGUGAAGUGCAAAACAUGGUCAUGGGCAGGACAAGACAGUCUGCUGAGUGUGGUCUCAUGCCCCAAAAAUUGACAGAGGAUUCGGACCUGAGCCAUCAGACCAUGCCUCAGGACUACCUGGCAUGAUGACUCCUUGCUGUCACCAGUCCACCUGGCCGUGCUGCUGCUCCAGUUUCAACUGUUCUGCCUGCGGCUAUGGAACCCUGACCUGUUCACCGGACGUGCUACCUGUCCCAGACCUGCUGUUUUCAACUCUCUAGAGACAGCAGGAGCGGUAGAGAUACUCUGAAUGAUCGGCUAUGAAAAGCCAACUGACAUUUACUCCUGAGGUGCUGACUUGUUGCACCCUCGACAACUACUGUGAUUAUUAUUAUUUGACCAUGCUGAUCAUUUAUGAACACUUGAACUUCUUGGCCAUGUUGUGUUAUAAUCUCCACCUGGCACAGCCAGAAGAGGACUGGCCACCCCUCAUAGCCUGGUUCCUCUCUAGGUUUCUUCCUAAGUUCUGGCCUUUCUAGGUAGUUUUUCCUAGCCACUGUGCUUCUACAUCUGCAUUGCUUGCUGUUUGGGGUUUUAGGCUGGGUUUCUGUACAGCACUUUGAGAUAUCAGCUGAUGUAAGAAGGGCUAUAUAAAUACAUUUGAUUUGAUUCAGUUAGGAAGUGUGAUGCAAUAAUGCUUAGCAUACCCCAAUAAAGCCGACGACAUCCUGUUUGAA